Molecule: non-coding RNA, 446 nt
Organism: Cinara cedri
Lineage: Eukaryota; Metazoa; Arthropoda; Insecta; Hemiptera; Aphididae
Source: the annotation of a GenBank genome assembly
GUGUAUGUAUAUNAAAUAUAAUGGAAGAAUUAAAUUUCAAGUUAACCAAAAUGCAGGUCGGAGUGAAAUGUCUCCGUCGUGUGCUUUUGAUGUAUAUCCCGAUUCACAAUUUACUGAUUCGAGCCAAAGGUUAAUUUGUUUAUUUUAAUAAGAAUGAUCUCCGUAUAACUUCGUCUUUAUAUUACAAGAUAGUGAAGAAGUAAAAUACUAAUUAGAUUAGUAGAUAUUAGUUAUAAAUUAUGUUUAUGACUUAAUAUGGUUAGUCAACGAAAUGUGAUAAGUGGUAUUCGACGGGCCGUUAUAAAUACUUUUGUUGCUUAUUUCAGUUAUCAGCGUCCAAUUGUUACAUUGAUACCAGCAAUUGUACCAUUAGAAGCAUCGACUGCUACUGUCACAGAAAUAACUGACGAGGCAACAGAUAAUAUUGAUUAGAGUAGUUACAUUAU